This is a long non-coding RNA of Erinaceus europaeus (western European hedgehog), 2545 nucleotides long. RefSeq lists it as uncharacterized. The record is from RefSeq and is a predicted model, not a curated record. Lineage: Eukaryota; Metazoa; Chordata; Mammalia; Eulipotyphla; Erinaceidae. The transcript has 3 exons.
AUAAUUAGUGUUUUCUUCCAGAGUCUCAUUUGUUGCUUCUGCAUUUCUGAUGAAAAUUAUUUCAAACUCUACUCACUCCUGUGAUUAUUUCCUUAACUAGUGUUUGGAUAUUGAACUCAUUAUUUUAUGCUUCACCCUUUGGGGGCUUUUAGCUGAACUCUUGUCCUGGUUCAUCUCUCUCACUACUUUUCAAAUUACUGAUCACUCUUGCCUGGACUGACUUGUGUCUAAGUAAGGUACUUAAAGGGUUCACAGCUGUGGAAAUUAACAGUUGUUUCAAUAUUAUUUUAAUCCCUGAGUUGGUGCACAGUGUCUUUAAAAGUCUCUUUUGCUCUUUUUCUUCCCUGCAGGCUAUGGGAGCCUGAGGUCUUUUAAACUAUAAGUAGGCUUCUUAGCUUAAUCACUGACUCCUGACCAAGAGAUAAAGCGGGGUGGGGGAGAGAGAAUACAGUGGUUAUGCAAUGAAAUUCUCACACCCCAAGGAUCCAAAGCUCCAGGCUCAAUUCAGCUUCUUUGCCAAGCUAGACAGCACUGCUGGGUCCUGAGUUUCUAAACAAGUCCCAUUUAUAGUCUGUAGGUUCUGAGGCAACUAUUCACUAUGUUCUCAUCAGGAGAAUAACAUGGAAAGGCUCCCACCACAUAGCCCAACUGCUAGGCCACCAACGUGUAGAUCUUCUUCUUAGUUUCCUGCUUAGUUGUCUGUCUUCCAGUGUCAGCACAGGGCUUCUUCUCUGCUGCUCCAGCCUCAGAGGGCAGUAGCAAUGGAGACUCACAUUUGCAUUUGUUGAGUCUUAGGGGAGUCCUCUCCUCCCUUCAGCCAUCUUUUUGUUGGUAAAACAGAGUGGAGCUGGUGCCUCAAUUGGUAAACUGCUGGACUGUUAACCAGCCACUUAAUCUCUCCCUAGGCUCCUCGAUGUCCACGAGUCACAAGUGUUUGCACUUACCGGUGAUUUGGUGGGUUCCUGAAGUCUUUCUUGUCCUGUCUUCUUGCGGUUGCAGGUGGUCUCCUUUGGUAUUCCUAGUUGACCCAGGAGAAGAGAGGAGAGAAACACAGCUGCUGCUGCUCUGUAGCCCUACCUCCAGAAGUCUUUUCUUUUUUUUUUCAAAUAAGGGAGAGUACAUGUACAGUCCCCUACUACCAUAAAUUCUGCAGUCGAGUUGCCCACAUUUGGAGAAAUCUCAGGGUCAGCACACCCGGAGUACAGUGAGUUAAGCCUUGCCCUGGGAAAUACACCUUUAUAAUUAUAGACUUUCACCUGUCAGGUAAAUAUGAACCCAGGUCUUUAUGUUCAGUAAUGUGUACACUCUAGUGGGGAUGCUACCAGCCAGCCCUACUCACUUUUACUUCUAGCAAAACAAUAUAAAACAAACAAAACAAAACAAGAAUUGGCUUCCAAAGUAGUAGAAAAUACUAAAUAAGUAAAUAAGUAAGUGAAGAAGUAUGGGUCAAGGGGAAAGGAGAUUGGGACCAUGAAUCAGGUUGACAGCCAAAUACAUUAAUUUGGUUCUGUAUCCUUCACCAGCACUGGGCCUCAAAUCAGCACUCCCAAGCCAAGAAGUAAAAUGUAGUUAGUGAAGAUGAAUCACUGAGAAAACAGGAUGGAAGCUGACUAUAGGUUCCAGUUUCUAGGUGGGGAGGGCCAGUCUGCAAUGCUCAGUGUUUUGCCUAGAAGAAUGGGGUAGAAAUGGUGGUUAUUGAUUUGAAGGCACUGACAGCUGGUCAGGGUGUGAGGAAAGGGGAACACAGAUGCCAGAGGGGGAAGAUGCUGACAGGCAGUGCCUUUUCUACAGCCUCUUUCAGCCACUUGUCAUUUGAUACUGAGGCAAGGGGCUGAGUCUGGGCGUUGUGUGUACAAAGUCACUGGGAUCCAACCCCAAGAUUUUUUAACGAAAUUUGGGAUCACUCUGACAAAUAUCAAGACAAGGCAAGUAGGGGUUGAAUCAGUUACCUGAAGAAAAUCCCUCUGAGACACUAAGCUUUUUUUCAAACCUGACAAGGCAAAGACUAGAGCUUAGGCCACACCAUGCAGAAAGGCCUCAGAAAAAACACAGGAGUUUUCAACAGCAUGGAAUGGCCAGGAACUCAGGCCAAUUAUCUCCAGUGAAAACAUUCUGUGCUCCCAAGGAAACGCAGUUCUGAAUGCCUUCACUGUUAGCCAAGCUGGACUUUGGGUUCAUGUCCUCUUAAGAAAGCUGAGGAUUCAAGCAGAUGUUUAAAGAGAAGACCACCCUAGCUUCACAGGGAAGUGGGCCAAACCAGUUUCUACUUACCAGCAGGUCACUCUCACACCUAAUGACUUCAUCCAGCAUGGGGCUUGAGAGUGACUUGGUUUGGUGGCACAGGGACUUCUGUGAGUCUAACACUUGUGAAGACUGAGAGCAGAGAUCAGAAUAUACUUGCUGAAGGAGAUGGCCUCUUCAUCCUGUGGCUUUGCUGGUUUUAUAACCUCCAAAUUAGAAGGAGAAAAUGAAGGCCCUCCUGUUGAGCAUGAUGACGACACUCCCCAAGAUGUGUGACGGAGGGUUUGGUAACCCUCGAGAAGCC